RNAcentral lists this ribosomal RNA (506 nucleotides) under cf. Marasmius sp. 21C. Its description in RNAcentral is "partial 18S ribosomal RNA". The stretch from base 38 to 191 matches the Rfam family "5.8S ribosomal RNA". The record is from RNAcentral. Lineage: Eukaryota; Fungi; Basidiomycota; Agaricomycetes; Agaricales; Marasmiaceae.
UUUCAUGGGGACUGGAUGGCCCCUUUAAACUUUAUACAACUUUCAGCAACGGAUCUCUUGGCUCUCGCAUCGAUGAAGAACGCAGCGAAAUGCGAUAAGUAAUGUGAAUUGCAGAAUUCAGUGAAUCAUCGAAUCUUUGAACGCACCUUGCGCCCUUUGGUAUUCCGAAGGGCAUGCCUGUUUGAGUGUCAUUAAAUUCUCAACUUCAAAAAGCUUUUGUCUUUUUGAAGCUUGGAUGUGAAGGCUUGCUGGCGUUUUAAAUGUUCAGCUCCUUUGAAAUGCAUUAGUGGACCCGUUCGUGUUCAGCCUUAGUGUGAUAAUUAUCUAUGCUAUGGUUUCUUGAAUGCUUGCUCGUUAGAACUUCGAAGUGUUUCAUUACACUUUCGGUGUGGGGGGUUGCAUUAACACUGCUCUCUCUGUCUAUCGAGUUUGGUUUGUCUGCUUCUAACAGUCUGCCGUGUGUGGACAAUUUUUGAACCAUUGACCUCAAAUCAGGAGGACACCCG